Long non-coding RNA from Macrosteles quadrilineatus (aster leafhopper), 137 nucleotides. RefSeq lists it as uncharacterized. Lineage: Eukaryota; Metazoa; Arthropoda; Insecta; Hemiptera; Cicadellidae. The record is from RefSeq and is a predicted model, not a curated record. The transcript is spliced from 3 exons.
GUAGAGAGGCAGAAAGAAAACCUGGAUCCUCUCUUGUCACAGCAUCAAAAUAUGGGAAAAGAUUCAGAAGCAUUAAAUCCACAUCUUCUUCAGUUGACUAAUGUCUUUGGAGCUAACAACAAUCAGAUUCACAAGGU